GACUGACGGUGACAACUACCCUGAGACAUUGUGCUGAAUGUUUAUCAUCAAUGCUGGCCGUGGUUUUAGGCUGUUGUGGAGCAUUGUGAAGUCUUUUAUUGAUCCAAAAACCACUUCAAAGAUUCAUGUUCUUGGAAACAAAUACCAGAGUAAGUUGCUUGAAAUAAUUGAUGCUAU
Molecule: long non-coding RNA, 177 nt
Organism: Magnolia sinica
Lineage: Eukaryota; Viridiplantae; Streptophyta; Magnoliopsida; Magnoliales; Magnoliaceae
Exons: 3
Source: RefSeq, a predicted model, not a curated record